GAUGAAGAACGUAGCGAAAUGCGAUAAGUAGUGUGAAUUGCAGAAUUCAGUGAAUCAUCGAAUCUUUGAACGCACAUUGCGCCCUUUGGUAUUCCUUAGGGCAUGCCUGUUCGAGCGUCAUUUAAACCUUCAAGCUAAGCUUGGUGUUGGGUGACUGUCCGCUUCACUGCGGACUCGCCUCAAAAUUAUUGGCGGCCGGUACAUUGGCUUCGAGCGCAGCAGAAACGCGAACUCGGGCCCGUCGUAUUGGCUCCCAGAAGCUAUCUUCACAAUUUUGACCUCGGAUCAGGUAGGGAUACCCGCUGAACUUAAGCAUAUCAAGCGGAGGA
RNAcentral lists this unclassified non-coding RNA (329 nucleotides) under soil metagenome. RNAcentral's name for it is "partial contains 5.8S ribosomal RNA, internal transcribed spacer 2, and large subunit ribosomal RNA". The stretch from base 1 to 120 matches the Rfam family "5.8S ribosomal RNA", at positions 35 to 154 of the family's 154-position model. The record is from RNAcentral.